CUAAGGCUCCGGAGGAAGCCACGGCUAACCCUGUGCCAGCAGCCGCGGUAAUACAGAGGCGGCAAGCGUUGUUCGGAAUUAUUGGGCGUAAAGAGCACGUAGGCGGCUAUGUAAGUCGGUUGUGAAAGCCUUCCGCUCAACGGGAGAACAGCAUCCGAUACUGCAUGGCUUGAGUGCGGGAGGGGAGAGUGGAACUUCUGGUGGAGCGGUGAAAUGCGUAGAUAUCAGAAGGAACGCCGGCGGCGAAAGCGGCUCUCUGGCCCAUAACUGACGCUGAGUGUGCGAAAGCUAGGGGAGCAAACGGGAUUAGAUACCCCGGUAGUCCUAACCGUAAA
Molecule: ribosomal RNA, 335 nt
Filed under: uncultured Planctomycetales bacterium
Lineage: Bacteria; Pseudomonadati; Planctomycetota; Planctomycetia; Planctomycetales
Description: bacterial SSU rRNA
Rfam family: Bacterial small subunit ribosomal RNA
Source: RNAcentral